CUGCAACUUGCAAUUUUUGAUAUGAAUUUUUUUAAUCAUUUGUUUGGGUUAUGGUUCUUGUCGAACUGACCGUCCAUUUUUCUGAUUUCUUUAUCUUCAUUCAUAUCAAGGAAAUAUUGUAGUUUCCAAGUUGAUGUAGAUUCCAAUCUUUUUGUAAUAAUAAGGCAUAAGGAAUUCGAAUCUCUCGAAUGGUGACAAACCGUGAUAUUGAAGAAAAUAUCUCACUAAAAUCAACUCUUGUGAUUUGGUUAUUCUAUAGCCACCAAUCUCCCCAUCCACUUUUAUUACUUGCUGUUCAAAAAAAUAUUUUGAUAGCUCUCUAUGAAACAUUUAUUGUAAAACAA
RNAcentral lists this long non-coding RNA (344 nucleotides) under Arabidopsis lyrata. Its description in RNAcentral is "long non-coding RNA (ALYR_LNC000609)". The record is from RNAcentral. Lineage: Eukaryota; Viridiplantae; Streptophyta; Magnoliopsida; Brassicales; Brassicaceae.